Molecule: long non-coding RNA, 742 nt
Organism: Ictalurus punctatus (channel catfish)
Lineage: Eukaryota; Metazoa; Chordata; Actinopteri; Siluriformes; Ictaluridae
Source: Ensembl
UAGCCAGACUAAAUGGUCAGGUAGUGUAUUAUCUGUGAAUGUAGCCAGGCUAAAUGGUCAGGUAAUGUGUUAUCUGUGAAUGUAGCCAGGCUAAAUGGUCAGGUAGUGUAUUAUCUGUGAAUGUAGCCAGGCUAAAUGGUCAGGUAGUGUAUUAUCUGUGAAUGUAGCCAGACUAAAUGGUCAGGUAGUGUAUUAUCUGUGAAUGUAGCCAGGCUAAAUGGUCAGGUAGUGCGUUAUCUGUGAAUGUAGCCAUUCUAAAUGGUCAGCAAGAAUGUCAUUUCCCAGUAGCCACCAAUGAUAAUGGCCUCUAUUUUGUUACUGCUAUAAAUUCGAUAGUUUUGCUGGUUAUAGUACAGAUUCAGUGGAAGGUGUACAUAAUGCCCAGUGUCACACUUCUAGGCUUAGCUCGAGUUGGUUAAAUGGAUUGCCUCAUGCAAAUACCAUACAAACGUGACCCAAAGCACACAAACUUUGUUCCACUUUUUUUGUUUAAACGCGUUCCCCUUAGACAUUCACAUUAAAUGCCUCUUUGCUUUUUCCCAACACUUAAUAUUUCCUACACUGUGAGGAUUUUGUUUUGGGUUAUGACCAUUACAAUAUCUGUGGGUUUGUGCAGGUAUAGGUAAAUCCCUAUAAGCUAAAACAGGGUUCACUCUUGUGUGCUAUAUGGAAAUCAUAUUCUGCCUUAUUCUGAUGCAUCAUAGUUACCAAUGAAACUGAAAAGCAGACAUGGCUAAUUACC